CCUACGGGUGGCAGCAGUGGGGAAUAUUGGACAAUGGGCGAAAGCCUGAUCCAGCCAUGCCGCGUGUGUGAAGAAGGCCUUCGGGUUGUAAAGCACUUUCAGUGGGGAAGAAAGCCUUGGGGCUAAUACCCUCGAGGAAGGACAUCACCCACAGAAGAAGCACCGGCUAACUCCGUGCCGGCAGCCGCGGUAAUACGGAGGGUGCGAGCGUUAAUCGGAAUUACUGGGCGUAAAGCGCGCGUAGGCGGUCUGAUAAGCCGGUUGUGAAAGCCCCGGGCUCAACCUGGGAACGGCAUCCGGAACUGUCAGGCUAGAGUGCAGGAGAGGAAGGUAGAAUUCCCGGUGUAGCGGUGAAAUGCGUAGAGAUCGGGAGGAAUACCAGUGGCGAAGGCGGCCUUCUGGACUGACACUGACGCUGAGGUGCGAAAGCGUGGGUAGCAAACAGGAUUAGAUACCCUGGUAGUC
Molecule: ribosomal RNA, 465 nt
Filed under: Vreelandella stevensii
Lineage: Bacteria; Pseudomonadati; Pseudomonadota; Gammaproteobacteria; Oceanospirillales; Halomonadaceae
Description: partial 16S ribosomal RNA
Rfam family: Bacterial small subunit ribosomal RNA
Source: RNAcentral